This 372-nucleotide ribosomal RNA is filed under the name Triticum aestivum (bread wheat). Its description in RNAcentral is "partial small subunit ribosomal RNA". The record is from RNAcentral. Lineage: Eukaryota; Viridiplantae; Streptophyta; Magnoliopsida; Poales; Poaceae.
UGCGAGUUGGGAAGUCUGCCCUUUUCCUACCUUGGCAUUCCGAUUCAUCAUCGUAGGCUAACAAACAGAGAGUGGAAGUGUAUCGAGGAUCGAUUUGAAAAGAAACUGAGCUGCUGGAAGGGUAAGCUCAUGUCAUAUGGAGGCCGGUUAGUUUUGAUAAACUCGGUACUCACGAGUAUGCCUAUGUUCCUCUUAUCGUUCUUUGAGGUUCCAGUGGGAGUGAGGAAAAGACUGGACUUCUAUCGAUCACGCUUCUUUUGGCAGGGUGAUGAGCUUAAAAGAAAAUACCGGCUUGCUAAGUGGGAUAUCAUCUGUCGACCCAAAGACCAAGGCGGGCUUGGCAUUGAGAAUCUUGAGGUUAAGAACAGAUGA